UGGGACAACCCAUUCUAAAAAAUACCCUACCCAAUCCUAUCCAUUCUUACAUAUAAAAAAAUGUAAGGGUUUCCUAAAUCUAUCUUCCAAUUUUUCUGCCGGUAAUCCUCCUAUUCUAGCUAAGAAAUGUUGGUUUUCUAUGUAUGGAAUUUGGAGUUCUUCAUCUUAAUACUAUGGGUUAUCAAUCAACCGCCAUGGAAUGUAGCUGGUUAUGUGCUUAUCAGCUCUCAAAAGUUGGUGGUUCCUCCCUUUUUGAUUUAUCUGCUUACUCAUCUUCUCCAUUAAAGCUUUAUUUUGUUGUUUCCAGGUGUGUUCUCCGGUAGAUGGGAUAAAGCUCCUCUUUUUGUGCUGUGUU
Molecule: long non-coding RNA, 355 nt
Filed under: Capsicum annuum
Lineage: Eukaryota; Viridiplantae; Streptophyta; Magnoliopsida; Solanales; Solanaceae
Description: long non-coding RNA (CANN_LNC014195)
Source: RNAcentral